GGGGACCUGAUCCAGCCAUGCCGCGUGUGUGAAGAAGGCCUUUUGGUUGUAAAGCACUUUAAGCGAGGAGGAGGCUACCGAGAUUAAUACUCUUGGAUAGUGGACGUUACUCGCAGAAUAAGCACCGGCUAACUCUGUGCCAGCAGCCGCGGUAAUACAGAGGGUGCAAGCGUUAAUCGGAUUUACUGGGCGUAAAGCGCGCGUAGGUGGCCAAUUAAGUCAAAUGUGAAAUCCCCGAGCUUAACUUGGGAAUUGCAUUCGAUACUGGUUGGCUAGAGUAUGGGAAGAGGAUGGUAGAAUUCCAGGUGUAGCGGUGAAAUGCGUAGAGAUCUGGAGGAAUACCGAUUGCGAAGGCAGA
RNAcentral lists this ribosomal RNA (358 nucleotides) under uncultured Acinetobacter sp. RNAcentral describes it as "bacterial SSU rRNA". It matches the Rfam family "Bacterial small subunit ribosomal RNA", at positions 377 to 725 of the family's 1533-position model. Lineage: Bacteria; Pseudomonadati; Pseudomonadota; Gammaproteobacteria; Moraxellales; Moraxellaceae. The record is from RNAcentral.